Molecule: long non-coding RNA, 1015 nt
Organism: Orcinus orca (killer whale)
Lineage: Eukaryota; Metazoa; Chordata; Mammalia; Artiodactyla; Delphinidae
Exons: 2
Source: RefSeq, a predicted model, not a curated record
UAAGCAGAUGAACACCAUGGCAAAACUUGCAAUUUAGAAAGAUUUCUCAAAGCAGAAUGUGGACUGAGUGGGGAAGCCUAGGAGCAGGGAGGUGAUAGAAGGACUUGCAGUCAAACACUGGAAGUGUUAACUACAGAUUUAUUUCCUAUUUUGUCUUCCCUCAAAUUCCCACUAAAAGGAUGUUACCUUUAAAUAUAUUUUUAUUUAUUUAAAAAAUAUUUUUGCGGUACAUGGGCCUCUCACUGCUGUGGCCUCUCCCGUUGCGGAGCACAGGCUUCGGACGCGCAGGCUCAGCAGCCAUGGCUCACCGGCCCAGCCGCUCCGCGGCACGUGGGAUCUUCCCGGACCGGGGCACGAACCCGUGUCCCCUGCAUGGGCAGGCGGACUCUCAACCACUGCGCCACCAGGGAAGCCCCUACAUACAUUUUUUAAGAAUAGAAUAACAGCAAAUGAAGAAAGAGUUAAGCCCCAUUUGGGAAGCUAGAAAAUAGAUGGAAGAACAAGGACUGACAGCAGCAUGGAGAAAGAAGGGGAUUCAGGGGAAGUUUGCAUGUGGAACGGUGAAACUCCAAGGAGGCUGCCUUGCUCCUGGAAUGCCAGCAUCUGUGUAGCAUCCAGGCAGGAGUCCAAAGGUUCCCUUUCUGGAAAAAGGGAAAAUCCUCAGAGAACAGACCUCCUGAUACUUCUUGUCACUGUCAUUUUUGUCUUAGUGUUAAUGUAAAAGUUUUGUUUUGUUUUGUUUUUAAAUUGCGGCGAAAAGCAACAUGGAUGGACCUAGAGAUUGUCAUACUGAGUCAUCCAGAGAAAGAGAAAUAUCAUAUGAUAUCGCUUAUAUGCAGAAUCUAAAAAAAAAAUGAUACAAAUGAACUUAUUUACAAAACAGAAACAGACUCAGACUUAGAGAACUAACUUAUGGUUACCGAGGGGAAGGGUUGGGGGAAGGGAUAGUUAGGGAGUUUGGGAUUGACAUGUACACACUGUUAUAUUUAAAAUAAAUAGCCAACAAGAAAAAAAA